GCCACUGUAGCUCAGUGGUUAGAGCACUGCUCUCGUAAAGCAGGGGUCGCGAGUUCGAAUCUCGUCAGUGGCU
Non-coding RNA from Bolinopsis microptera, 73 nucleotides. The record is from the annotation of a RefSeq genome assembly. NCBI's taxonomy places the organism in Eukaryota, Metazoa, Ctenophora, Tentaculata, Lobata, Bolinopsidae.